This 2938-nucleotide unclassified non-coding RNA is filed under the name Megachile rotundata (alfalfa leafcutting bee). RNAcentral describes it as "solute carrier family 41 member 1-like, transcript variant X4". The record is from RNAcentral. Lineage: Eukaryota; Metazoa; Arthropoda; Insecta; Hymenoptera; Megachilidae.
UAAAAUAAACGAGCUUGAUCGACGCGAUAGUACGUCGAUGUUUCGAAAAGUUUAGCGAUCCGUUGUCGCGAACGAAGCCUCUCUGCGGGCACUAUGCCCACUGCCCGGACAAAGGUAUUUCAAGCACCGUCUCUCGAUUGCACGCCCCUUUAUUCCUGGGUUAACACGUCUCUAAAUCGACCCGACGCGACGCGCGAUCCUCGCCAAACGAAAGCUUAUCGGUAUUGGCCAACCGCGAACACCAAUUUAUAACAUUCGUUGAUUACGUUUUCACUCGCCGUAUUAUUACUCGGCCAACAAUUGCAAUUCUACCGAUUGAAAAAUUCGAUUUUUUAUAUUGCAUUCUAUCAUUUAGCUGCAGACAAUCGACUAUGGGCUCCUCUUUCUACCUAUCUGUCUAUUGUAUACCGGUGAAAUCUACCUUUUAAUCUACUUUUUAAAUCUACUUUUUAAGUUGCCACGAAUUCACGAAUUAAAUAAAACGAAAACUAUUCUAUUCUCUUUCAAACAUUUUCGCGCGUUCCGUACAUUUCUACAUACACACGCGCAUAUCUACCACAUUUUUAAUUCUAGCUGUACCUAUUUACACGCGUAGUGACGUACCGCUCCGAUUUACGCGAAACGCGAACCGUAAACGCCCCCAUGCGGUCGCCGCCCGAACAACGUCCUCGUCAGUUCUCCUAUCGAUUAGUCGCGUGUUGCGUGUUCGAUUUGCGCAGUUUUGAGGUUAGAACGUUCGCGUUUAAACGCCUUGUCGCGAUUGUUUGGCUGGCUCGUUUAUUCAGUUUGGUCAAUGCUCUGUUCGAUAAAAUACUUUAAUGAUCAAAUUGCUUAUCAUCGACGUCAAAUAUCGUAGUGUUAUCUGGAUGUAGAAUCGCAGAAAUCGUAUCUUAAAUAAAUCGUACGACGAAAAGAAAAUAAAGAAACCAGGAAAACUGUUCAAUCAUCGAAGAUGCAGGAGACGAAGAAACGAUCGCGAUGAUCGUUGUGCAAAGACAGAAAUUGGACAGUACCAGACAUGCAUAACGCUUCCUCUAUCUCGGUAGUACACACGAAAAAGUGACUGGACAAUAAUGAACCAUGCUAACACCGGAAUGAAGAUUUAUUCGAACGACCUAUCGAUCCUGCGACAUAGAAAAUUUCACUCGGCCGAUAAACUUUACUCGAACGAAAUGGUAGGAUUGGACAGUCAAGAAUUACUCCGAACAAAUAUUUCCAAUGCUACCAUGGAAUUGGAAAUGAAAUCCGACGAUGAAACGGAAAGCGACGGGGAACCGCAUACGCGACGACUUAUACCGUCACCGAUCGAUCAUCGGUGCGUUAACGACGAUGACGACGGUAACGACGACGACGACGACGACGACAACGAUAACGAUGAUGACGGCCACCACAAUAACGACAAACAGUCGAUCGUUAUUCAAACUUGUCAAUCGAAUCGAACGGAGGAAGAUAAUCUUUGGUCCACUUCGAUGCAAAUGUUCGUGCCUUUUUUAUUGGCCGGUUUUGGUAUGGUAGCUGCCAGUUUGUUACUGGACGUUGUACAGCAUUGGCCCGUUUAUCAAAUGGUAUCGGAAGUAUAUAUAUUGGUGCCAGCGUUGCUCGGUUUAAAAGGAAAUUUGGAGAUGACGUUGGCCUCCCGAUUUUCGACUCAUGCCAAUCUCGGCUACACGGAUACCAGAAAGCAACGGUGGACCCUGAUAAUUGGAAACGUUACGUUGAUCCAAUGUCAAGCAACGGUAGUAGGUCUAUUAGCUUCUAUAGCAGCAGUCGUACUCGGUUGGAUUCCGGAAGCUCAGUUCGAUAUUCACCAUGCUCUUUUACUAUGCGCCAGUGCCUUAUCUACCGCGUCCAUAGCCAGUUUUAUAUUGAGUUUGGUGAUGAUCGCUGUUAUACUUCUAUCCAAAGAGAUGAACAUCGAUCCGGAUAAUAUAGCUACGCCGAUCGCAGCCUCUCUCGGUGAUUUAACUACUCUGGCCCUUCUUUCAGGAAUCGCGUCUGUUUUGUAUAAAACGAUGGAAUACGCGGCAUGGAUAGCUCCCACCUUGAUCGCGGUCCAUAUCGUGGUUACUCCCGUUUGGGGCUACGUAGCGGCAAAAAAUCCAUUUACCAGGGAAAUAUUAGACUAUGGCUGGGUACCGGUGAUAUGCGCGAUGCUAAUCAGCAGCGUAGGAGGUUUAAUACUGGACUACACAAUAUCCAGUUACAAAGGUAUAGCUGUAUUUCAGCUGGUAAUAAAUGGCGUCGGUGGUAAUUUGGUCGCUGUUCAGGCCAGUAGAAUAUCAACGUCUUUACACAAAGAUCGUCGAUACGGUAUUUGUAGAACCACCGUUCGUUUCAAUCCGUGGCACGUGUUCUGUAGCAAAGGUGGACACGCGAGAACCGCCCGAGUUCUCUUGGCGAUGGUGAUACCUGGUCAUCUGAUAUUUGGUUACACCAUCAGUUAUCUUCAAGCUGGACACACGUCUUUCACGCCUAUAUUCAUCGUAGUCUACUUGACCGCGGCUUUGUUACAGGUAAUUUUAUUGUUAUACAUCGCCCAACUGAUGGUCGCGUGGAUGUGGUCGAAAGGAAUGGAUCCAGACAGUUCCGCGAUACCGUACCUAACGGCCGCCGGUGAUUUAAUUGGAACGGCAUUACUAGGAAUCGCUUUUCAUCUGCUAUACGCCAUCGGUGACAAAGAUUCGGACGUAGGAGACUGACCGUUCCGGACCUUUAUGUUCGUUUACGUUUCGAUCUUGCGCAGAACGUUCGCUCCAUACGGAAAAGAACAUCUGUCUCUUUUACUGAUCCCCCUUACUCUCCUGUUAUUCUUGCCGCUUUUUCAUCGCGCAUUCGUUCACCGUUCCACGUCAUGUUACGAUCGCGCGUAAAUCUAGUAGCGAGAUAGCAGGUUUUAUCUCGCGUGGCACGUCGCGUCGUGUCGAUCGCAGAACAGGGG